GGGCCCGCACAAGCGGUGGAGCAUGUGGUUUAAUUCGAUGCAACGCGAAGAACCUUACCAGGGCUUGACAUACUACGAAUCCUUCUGAGAAGAAGGAGUGCCUUCGGGAAUGUAGAUACAGGUGGUGCAUGGCUGUCGUCAGCUCGUGUCGUGAGAUGUUGGGUUAAGUCCCGCAACGAGCGCAACCCUUAUUUUUAGUUACCAACUUGUUGGGUUCUCUAGAAAGACUGCCGGUGACAAACCGGAGGAAGGUGAGGAUGACGUCAAGUCAGCAUGCCCCUUAUGUCCUGGGCUACACACGUGCUACAAUGGCUAAGACAAAGAGUCGCGAGCUUGCAAAAGUCAGCUAAUCUCAUAAACUUAGCCUAAGUUCAGAUUGUAGGCUGCAACUCGCCUACAUG
This 401-nucleotide ribosomal RNA is filed under the name uncultured bacterium. Its description in RNAcentral is "bacterial SSU rRNA". It matches the Rfam family "Bacterial small subunit ribosomal RNA", at positions 917 to 1322 of the family's 1533-position model. The record is from RNAcentral.